GGGGAAGUAGCUCAGUUGGUAGAGUACUUGCUUCACAUGCAGAAGUCCCUGGGUUCAAUCCCCAAAACCACCA
This 73-nucleotide transfer RNA is filed under the name Ictidomys tridecemlineatus (thirteen-lined ground squirrel). Its description in RNAcentral is "Spermophilus tridecemlineatus (thirteen-lined ground squirrel) tRNA". It matches the Rfam family "tRNA". Rfam says of the family: Transfer RNA (tRNA) molecules are approximately 80 nucleotides in length. The record is from Rfam by way of RNAcentral. Lineage: Eukaryota; Metazoa; Chordata; Mammalia; Rodentia; Sciuridae.